GGCUAUGAACUUGGGAUGUCCUUAGUCUUUAAUCCUAUGGGCUUCUGGAUCACCUGCACUAUGAUAUUUUCAGGUUAUAUGGCUUAGUAUUUAUGGUGCUUGAAAGUGAACAGUCAGCAGGUUUUAGGCCCCUCACUUUACCCAGAGAUAAUUUUAGCCAAGGCCACAUCCAACAGCUUUCUUGAAGCAUCUCUAUUAUUGCUUUAUUUUCAGCUCAAUUAUUCUGUAUUUUACACUGCAUUUCUAAAGCGUGGGUCCAGGCUUCCUAAUAGGCCUGAGGGUGAUAUCUCAGACUUCAUUUAGAGAGGUCAUAUUGAAUCUGUUUUCAUGACCCAGGCCAGGAAAAGAGAGAGGUUUAACCACAGCCUUGACAUCAAGAAGAAUUUUUUCAGGAGGUCCUUGAGCUAAUAUGCUUGCAUGGCAUAGCAUGUUGUGCCAUCCUAGCAUUAAAUCCUGCUGUUCCACAUUAGUAUUAUAUAAAAAUGGAUCUUAGAAUAGCAUCCUGUUUCAUAGAUCAUUUGAGCCUUUCCAGAUAAUCUAAUGAUAGUAGUGAUAAAGUAAUACACAGAUACACACAUACAUGCAUACAUACUCACAGACAUUUAACUUUAUAUACACAGUCUUUUUUUUUUAAGCUAGAGUUAAUUGACUGGCAGAAUCUUUUGUGUGUGUGUGUGGGUGUACGGUUUUUUUUUUCAGACAAGUUAGCAGUGGAAUAUAAAUGAGACUCGUUGAAAUGGAAACUUUUCUCCGUGCAUAAUUGGAGUAAACUAAACGUUUCAGUUGUUUGGAAAGGCCUGGGACACCAGCAGUAUCACACUCAGCAGGGAUUUAAGGCUGAGAUUAGAUUCUUUUCCCGACUGCCAUGCAAUCCUAUCCCUCCCCACAGUAAAUCCUCCAUUUUUGCAAAUUUCCAAGAACUUUCUGAGCACAGACACCUGAAGGGUGCAAAAGGAGUCACAAGUUAAGUAAUGAAAUCGUCUUUCUGAGUGAAAUAUCUAAGAACUGUAUUAAGACUAUUUUCUAUAACCUAACAGGGGUUGGGAACCUGUGGCCUCAAGGCCAUAUAUGGCCCUCUAGGUCCUCAAGUGUGGCCCUUUGACUGAAUCCAAACUUCACAGAACAAAUCCCUUUAAUAAAAGGAUUUGUUCUGUAGAACUUGGACUUGGU
RNAcentral lists this long non-coding RNA (1170 nucleotides) under Phascolarctos cinereus (koala). RNAcentral describes it as "lncRNA (ENSPCIG00000034432.1)". Lineage: Eukaryota; Metazoa; Chordata; Mammalia; Diprotodontia; Phascolarctidae. The record is from RNAcentral.